This 454-nucleotide ribosomal RNA is filed under the name uncultured organism. RNAcentral's name for it is "partial 16S ribosomal RNA". It matches the Rfam family "Bacterial small subunit ribosomal RNA", at positions 330 to 800 of the family's 1533-position model. The record is from RNAcentral.
CGUACACUCCUACGGGAGGCAGCAGUGGGGAAUAUUGGACAAUGGGCGCAAGCCUGAUCCAGCUAUGCCGCGUGAGUGAUGAAGGCCCUAGGGUUGUAAAGCUCUUUCACCGGUGAAGAUAAUGACGGUAACCGGAGAAGAAGCCCCGGCUAACUUCGUGCCAGCAGCCGCGGUAAUACGAAGGGGGCUAGCGUUGUUCGGAUUUACUGGGCGUAAAGCGCACGUAGGCGGACUAUUAAGUCAGGGGUGAAAUCCCGGGGCUCAACCCCGGAACUGCCUUUGAUACUGGUAGUCUUGAGUUCGAGAGAGGUGAGUGGAAUUCCGAGUGUAGAGGUGAAAUUCGUAGAUAUUCGGAGGAACACCAGUGGCGAAGGCGGCUCACUGGCUCGAUACUGACGCUGAGGUGCGAAAGCGUGGGGAGCAAACAGGAUUAGAUACCCGAGUAGUCCCAUGA